GACGAACGCUGGCGGCGUGCUUAACACAUGCAAGUCGAACGGAAAGGCCCUUCGGGGUACUCGAGUGGCGAACGGGUGAGUAACACGUGGGUGAUCUGCCCUGCACUUUGGGAUAAGCCUGGGAAACUGGGUCUAAUACCGAAUAGGACCACGCGCUUCAUGGUGUGUGGUGGAAAGCUUUUGCGGUGUGGGAUGGGCCCGCGGCCUAUCAGCUUGUUGGUGGGGUAAUGGCCUACCAAGGCGACGACGGGUAGCCGGCCUGAGAGGGUGACCGGCCACACUGGGACUGAGAUACGGCCCAGACUCCUACGGGAGGCAGCAGUGGGGAAUAUUGCACAAUGGGCGCAAGCCUGAUGCAGCGACGCCGCGUGAGGGAUGACGGCCUUCGGGUUGUAAACCUCUUUCACCAGGGACGAAGCGUAAGUGACGGUACCUAUAGAAGAAGCACCGGCCAACUACGUG
RNAcentral lists this ribosomal RNA (462 nucleotides) under uncultured bacterium. Its description in RNAcentral is "partial 16S ribosomal RNA". It matches the Rfam family "Bacterial small subunit ribosomal RNA", at positions 28 to 507 of the family's 1533-position model. The record is from RNAcentral.